GUUGAAGAACGCAGCGAAAUGCGAUAAGUAAUGUGAAUUGCAGAAUUCAGUGAAUCAUCGAAUCUUUGAACGCACAUUGCGCCCGCCAGUAUUCUGGCGGGCAUGCCUGUUCGAGCGUCAUUACAACCCUCAGGCCCCCGGGCCUGGCGUUGGGGAUCGGCGGAAGCCCCCUGCGGGCACAACGCCGUCCCCCAAAUACAGUGGCGGUCCCGCCGCAGCUUCCAUUGCGUAGUAGCUAACACCUCGCAACUGGAGAGCGGCGCGGCCACGCCGUAAAACACCCAACUUCUGAAUGUUGACCUCGAAUCAGGUAGGAAUACCCGCUGAACUUAAGCAUAUCAAUAAGCGGAGGA
This 353-nucleotide unclassified non-coding RNA is filed under the name soil metagenome. RNAcentral's name for it is "partial contains 5.8S ribosomal RNA, internal transcribed spacer 2, and large subunit ribosomal RNA". The stretch from base 1 to 120 matches the Rfam family "5.8S ribosomal RNA", at positions 35 to 154 of the family's 154-position model. The record is from RNAcentral.